AUACGGAGGAUGCAAGCGUUAUCCGGAUUUAUUGGGUUUAAAGGGUGCGUAGGCGGUUCGACAAGUCAGGGGUGAAAGCCCAGUGCCUAACACUGGAACUGCCUUUGAUACUGCCGAGCUGGAAUACGGAUGCCGUGGGAGGAAUGAGUAGUGUAGCGGUGAAAUGCAUAGAUAUUACUCAGAACACCGAUUGCGAAGGCAUCUCACGAAUCCGUCAUUGACGCUGAGGCACGAAAGCGUGGGGAUCAAACAGGAUUAGAUACCCUGGUAGUCCACGCAGUAAACGAUGAUAACUAACCGUCGGCGAUACACAGUCGGUGGCCAAGCGAAAGCGAUAAGUUAUCCACCUGGGGAGUACGUUCGCAAGAAUGAAACUUAAAGGAAUUGACGGGG
Molecule: ribosomal RNA, 393 nt
Filed under: uncultured bacterium
Lineage: Bacteria
Description: partial 16S ribosomal RNA
Rfam family: Bacterial small subunit ribosomal RNA
Source: RNAcentral